RNAcentral lists this ribosomal RNA (497 nucleotides) under uncultured bacterium. RNAcentral describes it as "partial 16S ribosomal RNA". It matches the Rfam family "Bacterial small subunit ribosomal RNA", at positions 28 to 507 of the family's 1533-position model. The record is from RNAcentral.
GAUGAACGCUGGCGGCGUGCCUAAUACAUGCAAGUCGAGCGAACAGACGAGGAGCUUGCUCCUCUGAUGUUAGCGGCGGACGGGUGAGUAACACGUGGAUAACCUACCUAUAAGACUGGGAUAACUUCGGGAAACCGGAGCUAAUACCGGAUAACAUGUUGAACCGCAUGGUUCAACAGAGAAAGACGGUCUUGCUGUCACUUAUAGAUGGAUCCGCGCCGCAUUAGCUAGUUGGUAAGGUAACGGCUUACCAAGGCAACGAUGCGUAGCCGACCUGAGAGGGUGAUCGGCCACACUGGAACUGAGACACGGUCCAGACUCCUACGGGAGGCAGCAGUAGGGAAUCUUCCGCAAUGGGCGAAAGCCUGACGGAGCAACGCCGCGUGAGUGAAGAAGGUCUUCGGAUCGUAAAACUCUGUUAUUAGGGAAGAACAAAUGUGUAAGUAACUAUGCACGUCUUGACGGUACCUAAUCAGAAAGCCACGGCUAACUACGUG